AUUUUAACUAAAACCGUAUUUCUAUUUAUUUUGUGUGAGGAGCUAGUCAUUCUAAAGGUUCUACCAUAUCUCUACACAUUCCUGACUAGAGUGAAUGCAUAUAGCUUUUAAAAAAAUAUAUACUUUCAUAACUUUUUUCUCACACAGUCUCAAUUUUUCCAAAUCUAAGAGGUUCAAUGAAUUUAACAUAGUCUCUUUCUCUCCUACAAGUUCCGUCAAAGCUGCAUCACCUUCCGUUUACAAGUUAAUGUUAAGAAUCAGAACCUCAUAAAAAGGGAUCUUGUAAAGAGAGGACAACACCAGAUCAACUCAAUUAAGAGGUUGACAACCCACGAUACGUCAAAGGAGAUAGCUGAGAAGUGACGUAAGCAUAGUAAUGGAUCUGGACUUGUGGAGAGAAAGAUUUAUUUCUUUGAGGACUGAGUCUUCUCACCAGCCCCUGACACCUCUCUUUCACUUAAUCUCCUUUUGUUCCAUGACAUUCUACAGCCAAAAUGUUGAAUAAUAUUAUCCUUCCUUUUGGGAAAUCAUGAAUCUUCAGGCGUCAAGGAAGUAUGUCUUUCUGUUUUCCUUUUGGAAGAAAAUCAACUGUAUAAUCCUGGAAUCAACCAAACUGAAAAGUUGCUUAUGCAAAUAAUUUGCCUUUAGACAGUUCUGCGCCAAGGUAGAAACACCUUCAAGGUUAUGUCUUGGAAAAAUCCUAGAUAAGGACUGCAAUAUUUAACAUAUUGUAUGUUACUGGAGGACAUCUCUGUAAAUAGUACAGUAGUUUGCAUAUAAGUUUGUUCUAGUAUUGUUUGGCUGCUAAACUAACAACUGCAGAAUCUGUGUCUAGAGAUGGAAUGGAUUUUAGCCCUUUUCCACAUGUACAUGAAUAUGUGCUCUAUCCACUCAGUCUCUCAUCCGGUAAGCAUUUGUGCAUUUCCCACCACAUGCCAAGCUAUAGAUACAGAGAAAGAGGACAGGCUCUGUCCUCAGUGAAGCCCCCUCCCCCCACCCGCCGUAGGAGGAGGUAGGAGGGAAGGAGAGAGAGAUAAGUAAGCCAGUAUCUACUAUUUGUUUUAAAAAGUGCUAUCGUAAUUAUUCAUGAUGUGCUAUGGAAGUACAAAGGAGGGACCCCUAACUCAACCUGAAGAGAGGAAGUGGGUUGUGGAAGAUCAGGGAAGGUGACCUGGCUGAGGUGAUAUAUGGGGUGAAUUUUACAGAUCAGGGAGUUAGAAGGUGGAAAUGGUAUUCCAGAAGAAGAGCAUGUUCAAAGGCAUAGAGGCAGUUCAAGUCAAUGAACAUUUAAUGAAUGUCUGCCAUGUGCCAACCCCAAGAAAGCAUGGAGUGUAGACGGAAUGGCGAAUGGCUAUAUAUGACUGGAGCAUAAAAUACAAAUUGGGAAUUAUUGGGAGGUAGAACUGGAAAGUUUGGCAGAAGCCAGAUCUUGAAGAACCUUGUACACCAUGCUAAAUAACUUGGACUUAAUCCAUAGAGAGCCCCAAUACUGGAUUUAUGUUUCAGAAAGUUGUACUGGCAUCAGUCUAGAGAAUGAAUUCAGGAAUACUAAUGCUGGAGGCAGGGCAUCCAAUUAGGAGACUAUUAUAAAAAUACAUGCAAGAAUGAGGGCUUAAAUUAAAGCAGCAGCCAUGGAAAUGAGGACAGAUAUGAGAGAGAUUCAAGAGGUGGAAUAGAUAUGUCUAGAAACCUAGGAGUCAUCAUAUACAAAUCUCUCUCCCUUAUCCCCUUUAGCAGUUUUAGUCCUAUUAAUAAAUUAAAGAAAUGUACAGCCCCACGUAAAAAUUCAUGCCACUAAUUUGCAUUUAAACUUGUAUUAGUCACAACCAUUUUUUUUUUAACUGUUCUUUAUUUAAGUUCCUUUUGGUGGUUGUUAGGAAGAUUGGCCCUGAGCUAACAUCUGUGCCAAUCUUCCUCUAUUUUACGUGAGAUGCUGCCACAGCAUGGCUUGACGAGCAGUGCUGUGUCUGCGCCUGGGAUCCAAAUGUGUGAACCCCGGUUGCCAAAGCAGAGCACAUGAACUUAACCACUACACAACCAGGCCAGCCCCUAUUCACAACUAUUUUUAGUUGCACAACUAUUUUAAGUUACAGGAACCUAACUUGAAGUAGCUUAUGUGAAGAGGGGCAUUUAUUUGAAUGAUACCGGGGUUGGUCUCAUCUAGCAUGCAGCUGGAUGUCAGGGACAAAUGAAACCAGAAACUCAAAUGUUACCAGGACACUCAUUUCCUGACAUCUCUCUGAAUGUUGGUGGUAUUUUUCCUACUACAGAUCAGUUUCCUCUAUGUUGCAAGAAAUGGCCAGCAACAAUUUCUGGGCUUUCCAUUCUGUGAUUCCCUCUUCAGAGAGUGACUUCUACUCUAAUCCUAAAAAGGAAUGAUUGGCUCAGCAUGGGACAAGUGCUCUCCCACUGUGGCCACUGUUCUAUGAUAGGCAGCCACCACUAGAACUAUUGAGCUCCAGAUAUGUGUGUGUUUGAGAGGGUAUGCUUAGAGAACAGCCUGCAACUGGAGGGAGGGGCAGGAGAGACAAAAUUAAACAUGGCCACCAAAACUUUGUUAUCAAAUCCAAUAGAUUUCAUCCAGUACCUUUUCUUUGACUUCUGUGCUAUAACUGAUGGUAGUGACCAUGUUUACUUUCUGGAAAACUUCUUCCUUAGCUUCUGUUACUGUUUUCCCUCUGACUUCAUGUUCAUUCUACAUUCCAAAACUGAUUCCCCUUCCUUUUCUUGCCCCUCACAGUUAAUGAUGUUCAAAACUCAGUCCAUGAUAUUCUGAUCAACAGAUCUUAAACUUUUGCUAGGUAGAUCUCAAGCUGGUUGCUGCCACCACAUUCCUAUGUCUUUACUUUUUCUGAGUAUGCAACAGGCAAGGGAAGAGUGCAGUUGGCUGUGCCACUUCUCUUCCAGUUUCCACCAGACACUUUGCCACCAGCUCAUAUCUCUGUUGAUCUCUUGGAUUAAGAGGAGUAAAGAGCCAGUCUUUUCAGAAAGACUCGAUUCCCCCACUGUACAUUCAGAAAAUCCAUUAUUCCUAUGGUUUUAGUAAUGUCUCUCUGUGAAUGACUAUUUCCUAACUAUCCUACUUCCAGGAUAUGUCUUGUGAUCUAGUCAGCCUGGUCUUAUUAUCCCAUGGACACUCCAAGCAUAGUCCUACCUCCUUGUCUUUGUUCCUGUCCUCCUCCCAACAAUCCAUGUACUAUUCAUGUAUCAAAGCCCAGCUUAAAUUCUCUCUUCCAUAAAGACUUUCCCGGCCACUCCAUCCCUUUUGGUCUCUUUCUCUCUACUGAUGCCCUAUUCCAGCUUAUAGUUUCUAUUACUUGAUUAAAUUUAUCAAUUAAAUUUUUCAUUUUUUGUUAUUUUGUAAUUUUUGAAGAGUGUUAUGUGGAAAGAGCUGGAUUCUUUUUAACUUAAUGAGAUAUAUUUGGCAUAUAACGUUCUACUUGUUUGAGGUGUACAGCAUAAUGAUUUGAUAUAUGUGUAUAUUGUGAAAUGAUCACCAUAAGUUUAGGUAACAUCAUCUCUCCACACAUAGUUGCAAAUUUAUUUUUUCUUGUAUGAUGAGAACUUUCAAGAUCUGAUCUCUUAGCAACUUUUGAAUAUACAAUACAGUAUCAUUAACUAUAGUCACUAUGCUGUAAAUUAUACUCCUAGGACUUAUAUAUCUUAUUAUUGGAAGUUUGUACCUUUUGAGUACCUUCACCCAUUUCCUCCACCCCCCUACUCCACCUCUAGCAACCACCAAUCUAAUCUCUUUAUCUAUGAAUUUUUUAUCCCAUAUAUGAAUGAAAUCAUACAGUAUUUGUCUUUCUCUGUCUGACUUAUUUCACUUAGCUAAUGCCCUCAAGACCAUCUAUGUUGUCACAAAUGGCAGGUUUUUCUUCUUUUUUCUGGCUGAAUAGGAUUCCAUUGUAUAUGUGUAUAUAUCAUAUUUUCUUUAUCCAUUCAUCUGUUGAUGGACACUUACGUUAUUUCCACGUAUUGGCUAUUGUAAAUAGUGCCACAAUGAACAUGGGGGUCCAGAUGUCUUUUCAAAAUAAUGAUUUCAUUUCCUUUGGAUAAAUAUCCAGAAGUGGAAUUGCUGGAUCACAUGAUAGUUUUAUUUUCAAUUUUUGAGGAACCUCCAUAUUGUUUUCUAUAGUGGCUGCACCAAUUCACAUUACCACCAACAGUGCACAAGAGUUCCCUUUUCUCCACAUCCUCCCCAACACUUAUUUCUUGUUUUUGAUGAUAGGCAGUUUAACAGAUGUGAGGUGAUAUGUCAUUGUCUUCUUGAUUUGCAUUUCCCUGAUGAUUAGUAAUGUUGAGCACCUUUUCAUGUUCCUUUGACCAUUUGUAUGGAUUCUGAUACCAGCGUUGAUACUAGUUAGGAAUAUAAAAUUGGGCAAGUUACUUGACCUCUCUUUGAGGUGGUUUUCACACAUGUAGAAUGAAGGGCACUGACUUGAUUCUAGAAAACAAAGGAAAAUGUUACAGGUUUGAUUCCAUAGGAAUUCAAAAUUCCUGUGAAGCAAAAUGCAUGACAAGAAAAGUUAAAAGACAUACAACUGGUGAAAAUAUGUGUAACAUAUAUGCUACUAUAAAAGUGCCUUCAAACAAAUAACCCAGGAGAGAAUUACAAUUCACAAAAGAAAUUACACAAAUGACUAGUAGCCACCUGAAAAGGUGCUCAUUCCCCACUAGUAUUAGGGACUUUCAAAUUAAAAUAGCCACGAGAAGGCAUUCCUCUCCCCAAGAAAGGUUUACAUUCUAUCUAGAGUUAGAGAAUAUAGGACCACAAAAGCACCUUUUUUAUGAGAGUAUAAAAUGAUAUAGCUUUAUACUCUGAAAAUGUUAAAUGUACAUUUGAUUUAUCAAAUUCAUCUCCAGGACUGGAUCCUGCAAAUACACUUGGACAAGGAUAUAGAUAGAUGGAUAGCUAGCUAGCUAGCUAGCUAGCUAGCUAGAUAUAGAUCUAUAUACUGUCCUAAUAGCAGCACAAUUUGUAGUAUUAUAAAUAAUAUAAAUUCCCAUCAAUAGGAAAAUGCUAGGGAAUCACUGAAAAGAGUGAGAGAGGGCUGCAUUCAGCUGCAUUUGCAGCCAUGAAUAGCUAUCAAUAAUUUUGCAAGUUGCAAAACCAUACAAUAUGAUCUCAUUGAAAAAAAAAGAAAGUAUCAUGUAUUUAAAUAUAUACUUAAAACUUCAUCAAUCUGUUUAUGUGCCUAGAAGAUUAUUUCGAAGGAGUCACACCAGAGUUACAAAGAGCUACCUCUAGGGAGUAGGAGUAAGAGGAAAUGAAGGGAGGAAUUUUCCCUUUUGAAACAUGGCUACAAUUGUUAAGAUUAUCUGUUUUUAAUAUGUUAAUCUUAUCUCUCUAAUUAGUUAACUCUUUGGCUUUGGAUAAUGUCAUCUCUUCCUCAUAGCACUUACCAUGGUGCUGAUCAUUUAAGCCCUUGACUCCAUUCUCUUCUUGCUUGCAUGGUUCCUGAUUAGUAGUCUGCUGUAAAUUUUUUUUUUUUUUUUUUGGCUGAGGAAGAUUAGCCCUGAGCUAAUAUCUGUUGCAAUCUUCCUCUUUUUGCUUGAGGAAGAUUGUCACUGAACUAAUAUCUGUGCCAAUCUUCCUCUAUUUUAUGUGAGACACUGCCACAGCAUUGCUUUUUUUUUUUUCUAAAGAUUGGCACUUGAGCUAACAACUAUUGCCAAUCUAUUUUUUUUUCUUUCUGCUUCUUCUCCUCAAAUUCCCCCAGUACAUAGUUGUAUAUUAUUAAUUGUGGGUCCUUCUAGUUGUGGCAUGUGGGAUGCCACCUCAACGUGGCCUGAUGAGUGGUGCCAUGUCCGUGCCCAGGAUCCAAACCAGCGAAACCCUGGGCCGCCACAGCAGAGCGUGAAAACUUAACCACUCGGCCAGGGGGCUGGCCCCUACACACAGCAUUGCUUGAUGAGUGGUACUAGGUCUGUGCCUAGGAUCUGAACCUGUGAGCCCCAGGUUGGUGAAGCAGAGUGCAUAAACUUAAGAACUACAUCACCUGGCUGGCCCCCAACCUUCCUCUUUUAUUGCUCAAGGAAGAUUAGCCCUGAUCUAACAUCUGUGGCAAUCUUCCUCUAUUUUAUAUGUGGAUUACUGCCACAACAUGGCUGAUGAGUGGUGUAGGUCCGUGCCUGGGAUCCGAACCCAUGAACCUGGGCUGCAGAAGUGGAGUGCACCAAACUUAACCACUAGGCACCAGGGCUGGCCCCUAGUCUGUUGUAAUUUUUAUCCUUAUUCCUCUAUACUAAGGUUCUCCCCCACCCUCCUGUAGCUUCUUUCAAGAUUUUCUUUUCAUCUUUGUUUUUUUACAGUUUGAAUAUUAUAUGUCUAGGUGUGGAUUUUUUUGGUAUUUAUUCUAUUUAGUAUUCUUUGAGCUUCCUGGAUCUUUAGUUUGGUGUCUGUCAUCAAUUUUGAAAUAUUCUUGGUCAUUAUUACUUCAGAUAUUUCUUCUGCUCUGUUCUCUCUUUCUUUUCCCUCUGGUAUUCCAAUUGUGUGUUGUUAUACCUUUUGAAAUUGUCUCACAGUUUUGGAUGCUCUUGCCUUUUUCAUUCUUUUUGUCUCUUUGCAUUUCAGUUUGGGAAGUUUUUAUUGACAUCUCUUCAAGCCCACUGAGUGGCUUUGAUUUCUAGCAUUUCCUUUUGAUUCUUUCUUAGAGUUUCUAUCUCUAUGCUUACAUUAUCCAUGUGGUCUCAUUCAUUGUCUUUUUUUUUUUUUUUUUUUUUGCCUUAGAGCUCUUAACAUGUUAAUCACAGUUAUUUAUAUUUCCCUGUGUGAUAAAAAAUAUAUGUCAUAUCUGAGUUUGGCCUGACACUUGCUUUGUCUUUUCAAACUGUGCUUUUUCUUGCCUUUUAACAUGGUUUGUGGGUUUUUUUUUUGAAAAUCAAACAUUAUACAUCAGGUAAUAGUAACUGUGGUAAAUAGGCUUUUAGUGUGAGGUUUUAAUCUUAAUCUGGCUAGGAGUUGGGCGGUGUUUAACAUUUUCUGCAGCUGUAGAUGCCAAAGGCUUCAAAUUUCUCUAGCAUCCAGCUUUUGUAUCUUCUGUUGUUUUAAGGCUUCACUAAUGACUCUUUCUCAAAUAGAGUCUGUGUCUUGCAGCUCUUUCAGCUAUAAUCCACUGCUAUUCUACUGGAACCCUGAUGGUGUGGUGGUGAAGUGUAGGGGAAGCAAAGUGUUCUAUAAUCUUAUGAUUGAGUCUCAGUCUUUUAGUGGCUGUGUCCCUGGAUGUGACCUUCACAAGUAUCUCUUAGCGCCCCUGAACUUUUGGUGAGGCAGGAAAGCUACACAGGGUUGGAGUUGGAGAAAUGCCCUUCCCCCAGGUCAAAUAAGUCUCUGGACAGGAGAGGGAGGCUCUGGGUGUAUUUCACAAUGGUCACUUUUCCCCUCUCCCUGCCACAGCCUUGAGAGAAUCUUUCUUAGUUUUUUACCCUAAGAACCUGAUGAGGUUUCUGGAGGUAAACUCACAGAAGUGUGGACUCCCCUAAGGCUGCAGCCCCCAAGGGAUUCUCAAUCCUGUGCUACUCCAUCCUCAGCCUCCAGCAUUCAUCAAAUUUACCAUUUAAUUGUCCCUACCAAUUUAUGGCUCUAGCACUUCUCUUCCAGGUAAGCAGAUCUCAGCCGUUACACUCUGGGUUUUUUCAUCUUGCCAGAUUUCAAGGUGACAGAUAGUCUUGCAUCCUCAAUUCUCUAAUGAGUCCAAGAAAAGACAUUGAUUUUCCAUUUGUUUAGCUUCUUGCUUGUUGUCAAGAGGAGAGCGAUGACUUCCAAGCUCUUCACAUGUUGGAGGUGGAAUGUGCUGAGCGCUUAGUAGCCAUUAAAUAAACUGUUUAUUAGACAGUAAAAUUUUGUGUAUUUGUUUAAGAACUAAUUUUUUGUUCUAGGAAUUGCCAGCUUACAAAAAAAAAAAAUAACAUUUAAUGAAAAAUUAAAGCUGUCUUCCAAAACUUAGAAAGUUAUAAUGUGAAAGAAAGAUUUGAUUUGUUAUCAAUGGCAUCAAAAGAUCUAUUAGUGGAAAUUUUAUAUUUGUAGGCAGAGCAUAACUCAAUACAAGAACCUUCUAGCAAAAUUAUUCAACAAUGUUGGAAGUGUAGUUUAUGAAUUUCAGCAUCCAUUUCUAAUUGUGAAUUGAUUUGGGAAUACCACUGAAUUUUUCCUACUCCCCUAGGUGACUUUGUGAAAGCAGAAGCUAAGUGAAAAAUGCCCAGGUACUUACAGUAAAGGAUAAACUAUCUUGGAUGAGAGGUGGUACUAUAUAACUUCCAGUGUGGAGAUUCUUUGAUUUUCACACAAUGCAUCCUUUAAUCUCCCAAAGGAGGAAAACAUCCGUUAAUUUCUGUCUAAAGAGAGUUUAAAUCCAUUUACACACUAAAAAUGGUGACGGCCUUUGAGGAAGCUGAUGUACAGUGUCCUGAACCCCAUUCUCGGUUUGCAUGGUUUGGCAUGGAGUCCCUUUGCAGCAAGAGAUGGUGCGUGUGUUACCAGCCCACCAGCCCCUAGGCCCCUAGCCAUGUGUCUAAAUGAGGCCCCAGUGGGCAAACUUACAUGUAUGUAUAGUGCUGGUAUGUUAUGAUGUUGCUCACAAGUGUGCCUGUGAGGCAGAGGAGAGAGACUAUGCCUUGUGCACAAGCUCCUGUGAAGUGACUUUCCGCUUAUGUGGGUACUUAUGUGUGGGGAAGAGAUAGGUUCAAGAUGUCUUAAAAUUUAUGGCCAUUGCUGGGAAACUGCUGUUUCUAGCAAGCUUGCUAAAAUAUAAAGCUUGUCUGCAGUAUGGUUACUUUGUAUUGCUUUUCACUAAAAGCCUUAUUGUUAAUAAUAAAAGAGGGAAAGACCUUGGUUGGUUGUUUUACAUCUUUCUGUUUUAUUUUGAAGAAACAUUCAUGUUCCCAAAGGUUAAAAAAUAAAUCCAGUCUUUUAAAAGUUGUUUUUAAGGGCUAAGAAAUACCAUUUUGAAAUAAUAAUGUUUCUGAAUUUUAUGUAAUUCACGUUUUCUAAACUCUCCACAGUUCAUUGGUUUUUUCCUCUAAUCAACCCAAGAUAUCAUUAUGAAUAUAUUUUUAUAUAUUCCAGGAAGUACUUAUAUUGACUUCAAUAUACUUAUUGAAGAGCUGAACCCAGAAAAUUUAGGUUUUUGCCCAAGUCACAUUUGAUUGUUAGUGGCAGAGUUGAUAGGUUUUAUGUAAAGUGAUCCUUUCUUAGCACUCAUAAUUUUAAAAUUUUUAAAUUAAAGUGUAAUUUACAUACAUCAAAAUUCACCUUUUUUAGUGUUCAGUUCUGUGAUCAUGUAGCCAUGAUCAAAAUGUAGACUAUUUCCAUUAAACAAAAAAAUUCAACCUUGCCCUUUUAAAGUUUUAUGUUUGACUUUUAGGUUUAUGGUCCAUUUUCAGUUGAUUUUUGUGAGGAAGUUAUUUUGUUAUUUUGUGAGGAUCUAGUUAUUUUACUUUUUUUAUUCUUCCCACUCUCCCUCCCUCUUCCUUUCCUCCUUCCUUCCUUUCUAAGGUGGAUAUCUAAUUAUUCAAGGACCAUUUGUUGAAUUGUUUUUUUGCUGUUGUUGAAAAUCAAUUCACUGUAUAUGUGCAUAUCUAAAAUUUCUAAGUUCUUGCUUCUAUUUCAUUGAUCUAUAUGUCUAUAAACUCAUAAAUUUUAGAUUUGUUAUUGUGGUUAAGACCUAAUACUUACUGCCAUCAUUAUCUCACUAUUUACUUAAGCUGGGACAUGCCAAAAAAGUACAAAGCAAAGCUCUGUGUAUAUAUGAAGAGAGACUUUAAAAUGUCUUAGGUAACUGUAACUCAUUGACAUUUAUAUUUCAGGGGUAAAAUACAGAGAUUACAUUUGGAUCAACACCUUUGGUACUUAUAUCCUGAAACUAAUUAUGUUGCCAGUAUAAUGAAAUGAAAAUGUUAACAUGUUUAAACCUGUCAUAUGAAAAUAUUUCAGAUAUCACAAACCAUUUAUGCCACCCUGGUUGUCUCUGGUCCCAUAAUUACUUUCUAGUUUCUAGAGAAUCUGUUUCAAUAUUAAAAGUAUUCAAGAAUAAAACAUUACUAAGAAAGUAGAGAUAGAUAUUUCUUUCCCUGAACUCCUAGUAAAAGUCUCUGUUUUUGUCUAACUUCAUCUUGUCUGGCCUGAGUUUGAGUUGCAGAGUGUGCAUCAAGAUUGCAGGAACCCCAGCUUCUCCCUUUCCUACAUGCAAAGCAAGACUUCUUUGGUUAUUUUGACAAGAACUGUAUUCCACCAGGUUUUUUGUUUCUAAACUUUCUCACCAAGCCCAUAUUUAGCUGUAGGUAAAUUUUGUCUCUAUUGUUGGGGGUGGUGAGGGCUCAGGGAGUAAGAAAUGGAACACCAGCCACUAAAAACUAUGCUCCUUAUACCUCCAGGGGCUGGGAUUCUAAAUUAAUCACUCACUCCUGGGGAUAACCAUUGCUGUGAAAGGGAGAAGAACGAGAGGGCAAGUUUUUUACCUUGACCCAGAGAACCCUGAUCUAGUCCAUUCUCUUCCCCAGUGACUCUUAAUCUCAUAACAAUAAGCAUGGUCACUCAUAGACCACAGCUGUCUCCCACUUUGUACAAUGCACAUGGCUGACUGCCAGAUUCCAGAAAGUUGCGGCUGGGCCUAUAGAUAGGGACCUACUAAGGGUCACACACUAGUUUGCCUCCAUUAUACUGCGGUGUUUGCUGCUUGCCAAAGCCUGGCUCCCCCUCUUCCAAUUGACAGCUUGCAGAGUGUGCCUCUGAAGGGACUCUGUCCCAAGAUCCUUUGCCAGCUCCCAGAGAGCAAGGCAUUGCCCUUUCCUUGAUGUCAUUUCCCUCGCUCCCUGAUAAAGUGAGUUGUCCUCCUUACCAUCCCCUCUGCCUAGGUCAGAGCACAACUCGUUAGGCCAACUUUAGGGAUUUACAGAUUUCAUCAGCACUUUCUAACACCCCCCUCUCCCAUCUCAACCCCAUCCCAGUGUUACAACAGACUCUUUUAUCUCCCUUUUCUUGGGGGAAUUACAACAAGCUGGGU
Molecule: long non-coding RNA, 11003 nt
Organism: Equus caballus (horse)
Lineage: Eukaryota; Metazoa; Chordata; Mammalia; Perissodactyla; Equidae
Source: Ensembl